This 460-nucleotide ribosomal RNA is filed under the name uncultured bacterium. RNAcentral's name for it is "bacterial SSU rRNA". It matches the Rfam family "Bacterial small subunit ribosomal RNA", at positions 338 to 795 of the family's 1533-position model. The record is from RNAcentral.
CCUACGGGAGGCAGCAGUAAGGAAUAUUGGUCAAUGGACGGAAGUCUGAACCAGCCAUCCCGCGUGCAGGAUGACAGUCCUAUGGAUUGUAAACUGCUUUUGGCAGAGACGAAAUGUUUUCAUUUAUGAAGAUUUGACGGUAUCUGCAGAAUAAGCACCGGCUAACUCCGUGCCAGCAGCCGCGGUAAUACGGAGGGUGCGAGCGUUAUCCGGAAUCACUGGGUUUAAAGGGUGCGUAGGCGGAAUAUUAAGUCAGUGGUGAAAGCCUGUCGCUUAACGAUAGAACUGCCAUUGAUACUGAUAUUCUUGAAUUGGGUUGAGGUUAGCGGAAUGUGACAUGUAGCGGUGAAAUGCAUAGAUAUGUCAUGGAACACCAAUUGCGAAGGCAGCUAGCUGGGCCUUGAUUGACGCUGAGGCACGAAAGCGUGGGUAGCGAACAGGAUUAGAUACCCUUGUAGUC